Molecule: ribosomal RNA, 432 nt
Filed under: uncultured bacterium
Lineage: Bacteria
Description: partial 16S ribosomal RNA
Rfam family: Bacterial small subunit ribosomal RNA
Source: RNAcentral
AACGAACGCUGGCGGCAGGCCUAACACAUGCAAGUCGAGCGAGGACUUCGGUUCUAGCGGCGGACGGGUGAGUAACGCGUGGGAAUGUGCCCUUCUCUACGGAAUAGCUCUGGGAAACUGGGAGUAAUACCGUAUACGCCCUAUUGGGGAAAGAUUUAUCGGAGAAGGAUCAGCCCGCGUUGGAUUAGGUAGUUGGUGGGGUAAUGGCCUACCAAGCCGGCGAUCCAUAGCUGGUUUGAGUGGAUGGUCAGCCACACUGGGACUGAGACACGGCCCAGACCCCUACGGAUGGCAGAAGGGGGGAUGCAGAGACAAUGCGUGCAACCCUAAGCUAUCCGGGCCGUGUAAGUCAUGAAGGCCUGAGGGAUGUAAAGCUCUGUCAGCAGGGAAGUUAAUGACGGUACCAGCAGAAGAAGCCCCGGCAAACUCCGU